This 253-nucleotide ribosomal RNA is filed under the name uncultured bacterium. RNAcentral's name for it is "partial 16S ribosomal RNA". It matches the Rfam family "Bacterial small subunit ribosomal RNA", at positions 524 to 776 of the family's 1533-position model. The record is from RNAcentral.
GACGUAGGGCGCGAGCGUUGUCCGGAUUUAUUGGGCGUAAAGAGCUCGUAGGCGGCUCAUUGCGUCAACCGUGAAAACUUGUGGCUCAACUACAAGCUUGCGGUUGAUACGGGUGGGCUGGAGUUCGGUAGGGGAGACUGGAAUUCCUGGUGUAGCGGUGAAAUGCGCAGAUAUCAGGAGGAACACCGGUGGCGAAGGCGGGUCUCUGGGCCGAUACUGACGCUGAGGAGCGAAAGCAUGGGGAGCGAACAGG